GACGUAGGAGGCGAGCGUUAUCCGGAUUCACUGGGCGUAAAGCGCGUGCAGGCGGUUCGGUAAGUUGGGUAUGAAAUCUCCUGGCUUAACUAGGAGAGGUUAUCCAAUACUACCGGACUAGAGAGUGGUAGAGGAAGAUGGAAUUCCAGGUGUAGUGGUGAAAUGCGUAGAUAUCUGGAGGAACACCAGUGGCGAAAGCGAUCUUCUGGACCAUUUCUGACGCUCAGACGCGAAAGCUAGGGUAGUAAACGGG
Molecule: ribosomal RNA, 253 nt
Filed under: uncultured bacterium
Lineage: Bacteria
Description: partial 16S ribosomal RNA
Rfam family: Bacterial small subunit ribosomal RNA
Source: RNAcentral